This 253-nucleotide ribosomal RNA is filed under the name uncultured bacterium. RNAcentral's name for it is "partial 16S ribosomal RNA". It matches the Rfam family "Bacterial small subunit ribosomal RNA", at positions 524 to 776 of the family's 1533-position model. The record is from RNAcentral.
UACGGGGGGGGCAAGCGUUGUUCGGAAUUACUGGGCGUAAAGGGCUCGUAGGCGGCUCGUUAAGUCAGACGUGAAAGCCCUCGGCUUAACCGGGGAACGGCGUCUGAGACUGGCAAGCUUGAAUCCGGGAGAGGGAUGCGGAAUUCCAGGUGUAGCGGUGAAAUGCGUAGAUAUCUGGAGGAACACCGGUGGCGAAGGCGGCAUCCUGGACCGGUAUUGACGCUGAGGAGCGAAAGCCAGGGGAGCAAACCGG